This 709-nucleotide long non-coding RNA is filed under the name Heterocephalus glaber (naked mole-rat). Its description in RNAcentral is "lncRNA (ENSHGLG00000039653.1)". The record is from RNAcentral. Lineage: Eukaryota; Metazoa; Chordata; Mammalia; Rodentia; Bathyergidae.
CCCAGGGCGGGCGAAACACUAGUGCUCAAGUGCGCAAAGUGCAAGCUUCGAGGAAGCUCCCGUGAAUAAAAACAGCAAAACCGGAGCAGCGACCCUACUCACAAAGCGAACAGUCCCAGCCCACACGGCGACGCCAAGCCCAGAUAACGCAGGAAAGGAGUACUUACAGCCGGCGUGCGUUUGGUAUUGGGAAUCGAACUCGGAUCUUUGCUCUUGCGAGGCAGGUGGCAGAACCACUGAGUACCGGGGAUUGAACGCAGCAGGACCUUUUGCUUACAAGACAAGCGCAGUGCCACUGAGCUAAAUCCCCAGCCCACGCAUUGUUUUUGAUGAGAUUAUUUGUCAUUUUGUCCUCCAUCUUCUUCAGAUAAAUACUACCACCAUUUAUUAUCAGCUUCAGUUCUAAUACAAGAAGGCACCAGGAGAGAACCAUUUCAGGACAAGAAAGGGCCAAGAACAGCCUGGUGUUCUUUGACUAUGGAAAGAAAGUGACUACGGAAUCAGCCACUGGAUUGCAAAUGUGUCGUACCCAUGCAGAAGAGGAUUAAUAAAAUAAUUAAUUUUUUUAUGUAGUUCAGUUCAAUGUAUUUAUUUGAAAAUAAGAUUAAAUAAUCUUUUGAUGCAGACAGUUUCAUUGGUAUUUAUUCAUUCAUCCAGUGUGAGCAGAGUGUCUGUGGCACAGCCGAUACUUGAUCAGACACUGAGGUAU